RNAcentral lists this ribosomal RNA (429 nucleotides) under Bacillota bacterium. Its description in RNAcentral is "Firmicutes bacterium partial 16S ribosomal RNA". It matches the Rfam family "Bacterial small subunit ribosomal RNA", at positions 355 to 776 of the family's 1533-position model. The record is from RNAcentral. Lineage: Bacteria; Bacillati; Bacillota.
UAGGGAAUCUUCCACAAUGGACGCAAGUCUGAUGGAGCAACGCCGCGUGAGUGAAGAAGGUUUUCGGAUCGUAAAGCUCUGUUGUUGGUGAAGAAGGAUAGAGGUAGUAACUGGCCUUUAUUUGACGGUAAUCAACCAGAAAGUCACGGCUAACUACGUGCCAGCAGCCGCGGUAAUACGUAGGUGGCAAGCGUUGUCCGGAUUUAUUGGGCGUAAAGCGGGCGCAGGCGGAAGAAUAAGUCUGAUGUGAAAGCCCUCGGCUUAACCGAGGAACUGCAUCGGAAACUGUUUUUCUUGAGUGCAGAAGAGGAGAGUGGAAUUCCAUGUGUAGCGGUGGAAUGCGUAGAUAUAUGGAAGAACACCAGUGGCGAAGGCGACUCUCUGGUCUGCAACUGACGCUGAGGCUCGAAAGCAUGGGUAGCGAACAGG